Molecule: ribosomal RNA, 479 nt
Filed under: uncultured bacterium
Lineage: Bacteria
Description: bacterial SSU rRNA
Rfam family: Bacterial small subunit ribosomal RNA
Source: RNAcentral
UUUCGCAAUGCCCGAAAGGGUGACGAAGCGACGCCGCGUGUGGGAAGAAGGCCCUCGGGUUGUAAACCACUGUCAGGAGUUAAGAAAUAUAGAGAUGUUAAUAGCGUCUCUAUUUGACGAAGGCUCCAGAGGAAGCCACGGCUAACUCUGUGCCAGCAGCCGCGGUAAUACAGAGGUGGCAAGCGUUGUUCGGAAUUAUUGGGCGUAAAGAGCACGUAGGCGGCCUUGCAAGUCAGUUGUGAAAGCCUUUCGCUCAACGGAAGAAUGGCAGCUGAUACUACAGGGCUAGAGUGCGGGAGGGGAGAGCGGAACUUCUGGUGGAGCGGUGAAAUGCGUAGAUAUCAGAAGGAACGCCGGCGGCGAAAGCGACUCUCUGGACCGCAACUGACGCUGAGUGUGCGAAAGCUAGGGGAGCAAACGGGAUUAGAUACCCCGGUAGUCCUAGCCGUAAGCGAUGGGCACUAAGUAGAGGGGUUUUA